This 253-nucleotide ribosomal RNA is filed under the name uncultured bacterium. Its description in RNAcentral is "partial 16S ribosomal RNA". It matches the Rfam family "Bacterial small subunit ribosomal RNA", at positions 524 to 776 of the family's 1533-position model. The record is from RNAcentral.
UACGUAGGGGGCAAGCGUUGUUCGGAAUCAUUGGGCGUAAAGGGCGCGUAGGUGGUUCUGUAUGUCUACCGUGAAAGCAUACAGCUCAACUGUAUUUUGUCGGUAGAAACUGCAGGACUUGAGGCUGGGAGGGGCUGGUGGAAUUCCCUGUGUAGCGGUGAAAUGCGUAGAGAUGGGGGAGAACACUCGUGGCGAAGGCGGCCAGCUAGACCAGUUCUGACACUGAGGCGCGACAGCGUGGGGAGCAAACAGG